Molecule: unclassified non-coding RNA, 90 nt
Filed under: Pseudomonas mediterranea
Lineage: Bacteria; Pseudomonadati; Pseudomonadota; Gammaproteobacteria; Pseudomonadales; Pseudomonadaceae
Source: RNAcentral
UGUGGGAGCGAGCCUGCUCGCGAUGGCGGCAUGACAGUCGACUUUUGUGUCAUCUGAUACACCGCUAUCGCGAGCAGGCUCGCUCCCACA